RNAcentral lists this transfer RNA (64 nucleotides) under human gut metagenome. It matches the Rfam family "tRNA", at positions 3 to 63 of the family's 71-position model. From Rfam's summary of the family: Transfer RNA (tRNA) molecules are approximately 80 nucleotides in length. Their secondary structure includes four short double-helical elements and three loops (D, anti-codon, and T loops). Further hydrogen bonds mediate the characteristic L-shaped molecular structure. tRNAs have two regions of fundamental functional importance: the anti-codon, which is responsible for specific mRNA codon recognition, and the 3' end, to which the tRNAs corresponding amino acid is attached (by aminoacyl-tRNA synthetases). tRNAs cope with the degeneracy of the genetic code in two manners: having more than one tRNA (with a specific anti-codon) for a particular amino acid; and 'wobble' base-pairing, i.e. permitting non-standard base-pairing at the 3rd anti-codon position. The record is from RNAcentral.
GGUUGUAGCUCAGUUGGUUAGAGCGCCAGAUUGUGGCUCUGGAGGCCUAGGGUUCGACUCCCUA